RNAcentral lists this ribosomal RNA (508 nucleotides) under uncultured Kluyvera sp. RNAcentral's name for it is "bacterial SSU rRNA". It matches the Rfam family "Bacterial small subunit ribosomal RNA", at positions 1025 to 1533 of the family's 1533-position model. Lineage: Bacteria; Pseudomonadati; Pseudomonadota; Gammaproteobacteria; Enterobacterales; Enterobacteriaceae. The record is from RNAcentral.
GACUAGGACACAGGUGCUGCAUGGCUGUCGUCAGCUCGUGUUGUGAAAUGUUGGGUUAAGUCCCGCAACGAGCGCAACCCUUAUCCUUUGUUGCCAGCGGUUCGGCCGGGAACUCAAAGGAGACUGCCAGUGAUAAACUGGAGGAAGGUGGGGAUGACGUCAAGUCAUCAUGGCCCUUACGAGUAGGGCUACACACGUGCUACAAUGGCAUAUACAAAGAGAAGCGACCUCGCGAGAGCAAGCGGACCUCAUAAAGUAUGUCGUAGUCCGGAUUGGAGUCUGCAACUCGACUCCAUGAAGCCGGAAUCGCUAGUAAUCGUAGAUCAGAAUGCUACGGUGAAUACGUUCCCGGGCCUUGUACACACCGCCCGUCACACCACGGGAGUGGGUUGCAAAAGAAGUAGGUAGCUUAACCUUCGGGAGAGCGCUUACCACUUUGUGAUUCAUGACUGGGGUGAAGUCGUAACAAGGUAACCGUAGGGGAACCUGCGGCUGGAUCACCUCCUUA